UACAGGGGGGGCAAGCGUUGUUCGGAAUUACUGGGCGUAAAGGGCUCGUAGGCGGCCAACUAAGUCACACGUGAAAUCCCCAGGCUUAACCUGGGAACUGCGUGUGAUACUGGAUGGCUUGAAUUCGGGAGAGGGAUGCAGAAUUCCAGGUGUAGCGGUGAAAUGCGUAGAGAUCCGGAGGAAUACCAGUGGCGCAAGCGGCGCUCUGGGUCGAGCCUGACACUGAGACGCGAAGGCAUGGGGAGCGAACGGG
This 253-nucleotide ribosomal RNA is filed under the name uncultured bacterium. RNAcentral's name for it is "partial 16S ribosomal RNA". It matches the Rfam family "Bacterial small subunit ribosomal RNA", at positions 524 to 776 of the family's 1533-position model. The record is from RNAcentral.